GACGAACGCUGGCGGCGUGCCUAAUACAUGCAAGUAGAACGCACAGUCUAUACCGUAGCUUGCUACACCAUAAACUGUGAGUUGCGAACGGGUGAGUAACGCGUAGGUAACCUGCCUGGUAGCGGGGGAUAACUAUUGGAAACGAUAGCUAAUACCGCAUAAUAUUAAUUAUUGCAUGAUAAUUGACUGAAAGAUGCAAUUGUAUCACUACCAGAUGGCCCUGUGUUGUAUUAGCUAGUAGGUGAGGUAACGGCUCACCUAAGGGACGAAACAUAGCCGACCUUGGAAGGGGGACGGCCAAACUGGGACCGGGAACACGCCCAAACCCCCACGGGGAGGAGCCAUAGGGAAUCUUCGGCAAUGGGCGGAAGUCUGACCGGACAACGCCGCGGUGGGGGAGAAGGGUCUCGGGUCGUAAAGACCUGUUGUAAGGGAAGAAAGAGUGUGGGAGUGGAAAGUUCACACUGUGACGGUACCUAAUCAGAAAGCGACGGCUAACUACGUG
Molecule: ribosomal RNA, 505 nt
Filed under: uncultured bacterium
Lineage: Bacteria
Description: partial 16S ribosomal RNA
Rfam family: Bacterial small subunit ribosomal RNA
Source: RNAcentral